AGAGUUUGAUCCUGGCUCAGGAUGAACGCUGGCUGUGUGCCUAAUACAUGCAUGUUGAACGAAGCUAAAAGUGCUUGCACUUUAAGACUUAGUAGCGAAUGGGUGAGUAACACGUACUUAACCUACCCCCAAGUUUGGGAUAACGUUUGGAAACGAACGCUAAUACCGAAUACGUAUUUUUAUCGCAUGAUAGAAAUAUAAAAGGAGCUUCGGCUUCGCUAGGGGAUGGGAGUGCGCUACAUUAGUUAGUUGGUAGGGUAAUGGCCUACCAAGACUAUGAUGUAUAGCGGGGCCGAGAGGCUGAUCCGCCACACUGGGACUGAGAUACGGCCCAGACUCCUACGGGAGGCAGCAGUAGGGAAUUUUCCACAAUGAACGAAAGUUUGAUGGAGCGACACAGCGUGCAGGAUGAAGGCCUUCGGAUCGUAAACUGCUGUUAUAAGGGAAGAAAAACUUUAGUAGGUAAUGACUAGAACUUGACGGUACCUUAUCAGAAAGCGACGGCUAACUAUGUGCCAGCAGCCGCGGUAAU
RNAcentral lists this ribosomal RNA (532 nucleotides) under uncultured bacterium. RNAcentral describes it as "bacterial SSU rRNA". It matches the Rfam family "Bacterial small subunit ribosomal RNA", at positions 8 to 524 of the family's 1533-position model. The record is from RNAcentral.